Molecule: ribosomal RNA, 816 nt
Filed under: uncultured Mycobacterium sp.
Lineage: Bacteria; Bacillati; Actinomycetota; Actinomycetes; Mycobacteriales; Mycobacteriaceae
Description: bacterial SSU rRNA
Rfam family: Bacterial small subunit ribosomal RNA
Source: RNAcentral
AAUUACUGGGCGUAAAGAGCUCGUAGGUGGUUUGUCGCGUUGUUCGUGAAAACUCACGGCUUAACUGUGGGCGUGCGGGCGAUACGGGCAGACUAGAGUACUGCAGGGGAGACUGGAAUUCCUGGUGUAGCGGUGGAAUGCGCAGAUAUCAGGAGGAACACCGGUGGCGAAGGCGGGUCUCUGGGCAGUAACUGACGCUGAGGAGCGAAAGCGUGGGGAGCGAACAGGAUUAGAUACCCUGGUAGUCCACGCCGUAAACGGUGGGUACUAGGUGUGGGUUCCUUCCUUGGGAUCCGUGCCGUAGCUAACGCAUUAAGUACCCCGCCUUGGGGAGUACGGCCGCAAGGCUAAAACUCAAAGGAAUUGACGGGGGCCCGCACAAGCGGCGGAGCAUGUGGAUUAAUUCGAUGCAACGCGAAGAACCUUACCUGGGUUUGACAUGCACAGGACGCCGGCAGAGAUGUCGGUUCCCUUGUGGCCUGUGUGCAGGUGGUGCAUGGCUGCCGUCAGCUCGUGUCGUGAGAUGUUGGGUUAAGUCCCGCAACGAGCGCAACCCUUGUCCUAUGUUGCCAGCGGGUUAUGCCGGGGACUCGUAGGAGACUGCCGGGGUCAACUCGGAGGAAGGUGGGGAUGACGUCAAGUCAUCAUGCCCCUUAUGUCCAGGGCUUCACACAUGCUACAAUGGCCGGUACAAAGGGCUGCGAUGCCGUGAGGUGGAGCGAAUCCUUUCAAAGCCGGUCUCAGUUCGGAUCGGGGUCUGCAACUCGACCCCAUGAAGUCGGAGUCGCUAGUAAUCGCAGAUCAGCAACGCUGCGG